AGUGAACGCUGGCGGUAGGCCUAACACAUGCAAGUCGAACGGCAGCACAGUAAGAGCUUGCUCUUACGGGUGGCGAGUGGCGGACGGGUGAGGAAUACAUCGGAAUCUACUUUUUCGUGGGGGAUAACGUAGGGAAACUUACGCUAAUACCGCAUACGACCUACGGGUGAAAGCAGGGGAUCUUCGGACCUUGCGCGAUUGAAUGAGCCGAUGUCGGAUUAGCUAGUUGGCGGGGUAAAGGCCCACCAAGGCGACGAUCCGUAGCUGGUCUGAGAGGAUGAUCAGCCACACGGGAACUGAGACACGGUCCAGACUCCUACAGGAGGCAGCAGUGGGGAAUAUUGGACAAUGGGCGAAAGCCUGAUCCAGCCAUACCGCGUGGGUGAAGAAGGCCUUCGGGUUGUAAAGCCCUUUUGUUGGGAAAGAAAAGCAGCAGGUUAAUACCCCGCUGUUCUGACGGUACCAAAAGAAUAAGCACCGGCUAACUUCGUG
Molecule: ribosomal RNA, 492 nt
Filed under: uncultured bacterium
Lineage: Bacteria
Description: partial 16S ribosomal RNA
Rfam family: Bacterial small subunit ribosomal RNA
Source: RNAcentral